AUUAAAGUAGCUUAUAAAAUAGAGCAUAACAUUGAAGCUGUUAGGGAAAUAGAUGAUAUUCUUUAAUA
This is a non-coding RNA of Priapulus caudatus, 68 nucleotides long. Lineage: Eukaryota; Metazoa; Priapulida; Priapulimorpha; Priapulimorphida; Priapulidae. The record is from the annotation of a RefSeq genome assembly.